Molecule: long non-coding RNA, 321 nt
Organism: Panthera uncia (snow leopard)
Lineage: Eukaryota; Metazoa; Chordata; Mammalia; Carnivora; Felidae
Exons: 2
Source: RefSeq, a predicted model, not a curated record
AUGUGGUUCUUGUCCUUUCUUUUAUUGAUGUGAUGUAUCACAUUGUUUUGCAGAUAUUGAACCAGACUUGCAUCCCAUUGUAAAUUCGGCCUGGCCAUGAAACCAUUGGAAACACGUAUCGCACACUGAGAUGCAUGGGGCUGGUGAAGUGCUUCUAUUACUAAUUCUAGCUGACGUAUUUGCAAUAGCUCAAGAGCUUACAAAAUAUUUGCCUUAUGAUUCUGAGUAUGUUAGGUUUCAGGAACGAGAAGCAAGCCAAGAUUCUGAGAUGAUAGUAGGUGAUAAGAUAAAGACCGAAAUAAAAGACUCUGUCAUCUUUUA